CCUACGGGAGGCAGCAGUGAGGAAUCUUGGUCACUGGCCGUAAGGCUGAACGAGCCAAGUCGCGUGAGGGAAGAAGGAUCUAUGGUUUGUAAACUUCGUUUAUAGGGGAAUAAAGGUAUCAACGUGUGGAUAUUUGAAUGUACCCUAUGAAUAAGCAUCGGCUAACGACGAGCCAGCAGCCGCGGUCAUACGGAGGAUGCGAGCGUUAUCCGGAUUUAUUGGGUUUAAAGGGUGCGUAGGUUGUUUUGUAAGUUUGUGGUGAAAGUUUUUGGCUCAACCCUAAAAUUGCCGUGGAAACUGGAAGACUUGAGUGUAGUUGAGGUAAGCGGAAUGCGAGGUGUAGCGGUGAAAUGCAUAGAUAUAAGGCAGAACUCCGAUUGCGAAGGCGGCUUACUAAGCCAUAACUGACGCUGAAGCACGAAAGCGUGGGGAUCAAACAGGAUUAGAUACCCCAGUAGUC
RNAcentral lists this ribosomal RNA (460 nucleotides) under uncultured bacterium. RNAcentral's name for it is "partial 16S ribosomal RNA". It matches the Rfam family "Bacterial small subunit ribosomal RNA", at positions 338 to 795 of the family's 1533-position model. The record is from RNAcentral.